This is a long non-coding RNA of Rhineura floridana, 335 nucleotides long. RefSeq lists it as uncharacterized. The record is from RefSeq and is a predicted model, not a curated record. The transcript is spliced from 3 exons. NCBI's taxonomy places the organism in Eukaryota, Metazoa, Chordata, Lepidosauria, Squamata, Rhineuridae.
GAAAUAAAAAUCCAUAACUGCAUUUAUUGAGUGCUUUAGGUCAGACGUGAGCAGAAGGUAGAUUGGGGUGGCAGAUCUCUGCGUGAUUUGCAGUCGAUUGUUCCUCCUAACAUAUGCAUUUUGGCAAACACUGGUUAGCUGGAGAACUGCACUGCAAAAUUUGGGGGGAAAAUGUACAAGCUGAUGUGGAAAUGUGGAGAAUUGGAAAAUGGAGAAACUGAAAUUGACAGAUUCACCCAUCCCUACUCUGAAGGGCAGUGAGAAUCUUUACUGCAUCAGUGUUCCAACUGCUCAGGCUAGAAGUCUUCCUGCUCUGCUGGCUGAGCGCGCAAGCA